GUGAGGAAUAUUGGACAAUGGGCGCAAGCCUGAUCCAGCCAUGCCGCGUGCAGGAAGACGCAUCUAUGGUGUGUAAACUGCUUUUGUACGGGAAGAAACACUCCCUCGUGAGGGAGCUUGACGGUACCGUAAGAAUAAGGAUCGGCUAACUCCGUGCCAGCAGCCGCGGUAAUACGGAGGAUCCAAGCGUUAUCCGGAAUCAUUGGGUUUAAAGGGUCCGUAGGCGGUUUAAUAAGUCAGUGGUGAAAGCCCAUCGCUCAACGAUGGAACGGCCAUUGAUACUGUUAGACUUGAAUUACAAGGAAGUAACUAGAAUAUGUAGUGUAGCGGUGAAAUGCUUAGAUAUUACAUGGAAUACCAAUUGCGAAGGCAGGUUACUACUUGUGGAUUGACGCUGAUGGACGAAAGCGUGGGGAGCGAACAGGAUUAGAUACCCCAGUAGUCC
Molecule: ribosomal RNA, 445 nt
Filed under: uncultured bacterium
Lineage: Bacteria
Description: partial 16S ribosomal RNA
Rfam family: Bacterial small subunit ribosomal RNA
Source: RNAcentral